CCUACGGGAGGCAGCAGUAGGGAAUCUUCCGCAAUGGACGAAAGUCUGACGGAGCAACGCCGCGUGAGUGAAGAAGGUUUUCGGAUCGUAAAACUCUGUUGUUGUUAGGGAAGAACAAGUACCGUUCGCCAUAGGGCGGCACCUUGACGGUACCUAACCAGAAAGCCACGGCUAACUACGUGCCAGCAGCCGCGGUAAUACGUAGGUGGCAAGCGUUGUCCGGAUUUAUUGGGCGUAAAGCGCGCGCAGGUGGUUUCUUAAGUCUGAUGUGAAAGCCCACGGCUCAACCGUGGAGGGUCAUUGGAAACUGGGGAACUUGAGUGCAGAAGAGGAAAGUGGAAUUCCAAGUGUAGCGGUGAAAUGCGUAGAUAUUUGGAGGAACACCAGUGGCGAAGGCGACUUUCUGGUCUGUAACUGACACUGAGGCGUGAAAGCGUGGGGAGCAAACAGGAUUAGAUACCCUGGUAGUCCACGCCGUAAACGAUGAGUGCUAAGUGUUAGAGGGUUUCCGCCCUUUAGUGCUGCAGCUAACGCAUUAAGCACUCC
Molecule: ribosomal RNA, 546 nt
Filed under: uncultured bacterium
Lineage: Bacteria
Description: bacterial SSU rRNA
Rfam family: Bacterial small subunit ribosomal RNA
Source: RNAcentral